GAUGAAGAACGUAGCGAAACGCGAUAGUUAAUGUGAAUUGCAGAAUUCAGUGAAUCAUCGAGUCUUUGAACGCACAUUGCGCCCCCUGGUAUUCCGGGGGGCAUGCCUGUCCGAGCGUCAUUGCUGCCCUCAAGCCCGGCUUGUGUGUUGGGUCUCGUCCCCCUUCCCGGGGGGACGGGCCCGAAAGGCAGCGGCGGCACCGUGUCCGGUCCUCGAGCGUAUGGGGCUUUGUCACCCGCUCUGUAGGCCCGGCCGGCGCUUGCCGAUCAACCAAAACUUUUUUCCAGGUUGACCUCGGAUCAGGUAGGGAUACCCGCUGAACUUAAGCAUAUCAAUAAGCGGAGGA
This 346-nucleotide unclassified non-coding RNA is filed under the name soil metagenome. RNAcentral describes it as "partial contains 5.8S ribosomal RNA, internal transcribed spacer 2, and large subunit ribosomal RNA". The stretch from base 1 to 120 matches the Rfam family "5.8S ribosomal RNA", at positions 35 to 154 of the family's 154-position model. The record is from RNAcentral.